AACCAUAGAAACCUGCGGAGUACCUGCGGAAGGAUCGUUACCGAGUUUACAACUCCCAAACCCAUGUGAACAUACCUAUCGUUGCUUCGGCGGAUCGCCCCGGGCGCCUUGCGUGCCCCGGAUCCAGGCGGCCGCCGGGGGACCUUAACUCUUGUUUUUACUGAGAAUCUUCUGAGUCGUUUUUACAAAUAAAUAAAAACUUUUAACAAUGGAUCU
RNAcentral lists this unclassified non-coding RNA (216 nucleotides) under soil metagenome. RNAcentral's name for it is "partial contains 5.8S ribosomal RNA, internal transcribed spacer 2, and large subunit ribosomal RNA". The record is from RNAcentral.